This 249-nucleotide microRNA precursor is filed under the name Paramuricea clavata. Lineage: Eukaryota; Metazoa; Cnidaria; Anthozoa; Malacalcyonacea; Plexauridae. The record is from RNAcentral.
GACGUCGAAUAUCGACGUCAUCAAAACCAAAGUUGAUCGUAUUUAUGACGUCGAAUAUCGACGUCAUAAACACCUAAGUUGAUCGUGGUUAUGACGUCAAAUAUCGACGUCAUAAACACCGAAGUUGAUCGUGUUUAUGACGUCGAAUAUCGACGUCAUAAACGCCAAAGUUGAUCGUGUAUAUGACGUCGAAUAUCGACGUCAUCAAAACCAAAGUUGAUCGUAUUUAUGACGUCGAAUAUCGACGUC